GCCUGGGUGGCUCAGUUGGUUAAGCAUCUGACUUCGGCUCAGGUCAUGGUCUCAUGGUUUGUGGGUUUGAGACCCACUCCAGGCU
This 85-nucleotide transfer RNA is filed under the name Felis catus (domestic cat). It matches the Rfam family "tRNA". From Rfam's summary of the family: Transfer RNA (tRNA) molecules are approximately 80 nucleotides in length. The record is from Rfam by way of RNAcentral. Lineage: Eukaryota; Metazoa; Chordata; Mammalia; Carnivora; Felidae.